Molecule: long non-coding RNA, 663 nt
Organism: Sinocyclocheilus rhinocerous
Lineage: Eukaryota; Metazoa; Chordata; Actinopteri; Cypriniformes; Cyprinidae
Exons: 4
Source: RefSeq, a predicted model, not a curated record
GCUUCCGUAGGUGACGGAAAACAGCAUGGCUACUGUAGAUAUUGUAAGUGGAACAUAUUGCUGAGGCAAAUAACGUUUUUUUGUGUGAAAUAAGUGAAAACGGCAUACCAUCUAGUGCUGUCGGAGCAGGAGAAUUAACAAUGCCUCGAUACGCGCAACUAGUGAUGGGUCCUGCCGGAAGUGGAAAGAGUACUUACUGUGCCACAAUGUUAGAGCAUUGUCAUGCCCUCGACCGAUCUGUACAGGUGGUGAAUCUGGAUCCAGCUGCAGAGCAUUUUGAGUAUCCUGUCAUGGCAGAUUGAUGAUUACAGUAUGGUUCGUUUCCUGCCCUUUGACCGCGCUGAUGAGGAGGGCAUCAACAUUGUCCUGCAGCACAUUGAUUUCUCCAUACAAUAUGGUGAAGACCUGGAGUUUAAAGAGCCCAAGGAAAUUGAUGGGGAACCCAGUAACACAAAUUUUGAUGAGUUCUUCCAAGACGGAGACGAUUCUUGGGAUCACACUUGAAAGCCAGCCAGAUUUGUUCAAUUAAGAGUUUCAUUUAUUUAAACUAUAUUUUGUGUCACUGUCAUUCAUAAUGUCAUUAGAUGAAGGAUGCAACCAUAACCUGUGCAAUGCCUCUUGAUCUUAACAGAGUUUUAUAAAAAUGUAAUCCAUUUUUUAAAA